UAUCGUUGGGCUUCGGCCCAUUCGAGAUAACACCCUUGCCUUUUUGAGUACCCUUUCGUUUCCUCGGCAGGCUCGCCUGCCAACGGGGACCCUUCAAAACGCUUUGUAAUACCUGUAAUUGUCUGAUAUAACAAGCAAAAAUCAAAACUUUCAACAACGGAUCUCUUGGUUCUGGCAUCGAUGAAGAACGCAGCGAAAUGCGAUAAGUAGUGUGAAUUGCAGAAUUCAGUGAAUCAUCGAAUCUUUGAACGCACAUUGCGCCCUUUGGUAUUCCUUAGGGCAUGCCUGUUCGAGCGUCAUUUAAACCUUCAAGCUCAGCUUGGUGAUGGGCGACUGUCCCCCCCCUCGCGGGGGGACUCGCCUCAAAAACAUUGGCGGCCGGUACAUUGGCUUCGAGCGCAGCAGAAACGCGGUCUCGAGCCCGGUGGAUCGGCUCCCAUAAGCCUAUUCUUUUAUUUUGACCUCGGAUCAGGUAGGGAUACCCGCUGAACUUAAGCAUAUCAAUAAGCGGAGGAAAAGAAACCAACAGGGAUUGCCCUAGUAACGGCGAGUGAAGCGGCAACAGCUCAAAUUUGAAAUCUGGCCCUUUCAGGGUCCGAGUUGUAAUUUGUAGAGGGUGCUUUGGCGUUGGCUGUGGUCUAAGUUCCUUGGAACAGGACGUCGCAGAGGGUGAGAAUCCCGUAUGUGGCCGCCAGUCUUCGCCGUGUAAAGCCCCUUCGACGAGUCGAGUUGUUUGGGAAUGCAGCUCUAAAUGGGAGGUAAAUUUCUUCUAAAGCUAAAUAUUGGCCAGAGACCGAUAGCGCACAAGUAGAGUGAUCGAAAGAUGAAAAGCACUUUGGAAAGAGAGUCAAAAAGCACGUGAAAUUGUUGAAAGGGAAGCGCUUGCAGCCAGACUUGCCUGUAGUUGCUCAUCCGGGCUUUUGCCCGGUGCACUCUUCUAUGGGCAGGCCAGCAUCAGUCCCAGCGGUUGGAUAAAUGCCUGUUGAAUGUACCUCUCCUCGGGGAGGACUUAUAGCUUCAGGCGGCAUACAACCAGCCGGGAUUGAGGUCCGC
This 1053-nucleotide ribosomal RNA is filed under the name fungal endophyte. RNAcentral describes it as "eukaryotic LSU rRNA". The stretch from base 459 to 1053 matches the Rfam family "Eukaryotic large subunit ribosomal RNA", at positions 1 to 600 of the family's 3401-position model. The record is from RNAcentral. Lineage: Eukaryota; Fungi.